Molecule: ribosomal RNA, 305 nt
Filed under: uncultured bacterium
Lineage: Bacteria
Description: bacterial SSU rRNA
Rfam family: Bacterial small subunit ribosomal RNA
Source: RNAcentral
GCCUACGGGGGGCAGCAGUGAGGAAUAUUGGUCAAUGGGCUUACGCCUGAACCAGCCAAGUCGCGUGAGGGAAGACUGCCCUAUGGGUUGUAAACCUCUUUUGUCGGGGAGCAAGACCCGCCACGAGUGGCGGAGCGAGAGUACCCGAAGAAAAAGCAUCGGCUAACUCCGUGCCAGCAGCCGCGGUAAUACGGAGGAUGCGAGCGUUAUCCGGAUUUAUUGGGUUUAAAGGGUGCGUAGGCGGAAUGCCAAGUCAGCGGUAAAAUCGCGGGGCUCAACCUCGCUCCGCCGUUGAAACUGGCGUU